GAAGAAGGGUUUCGGCUCGUAAAGCUCUGUUGUAAAGAAGAACGUGGGUAAGAGUAACUGUUUACCCAGUGACGGUAUUUAACCAGAAAGCCACGGCUAACUACGUGCCAGCAGCCGCGGUAAUUACGUAGGUGGCAAGCGUUAUCCGGAUUUAUUGGGCGUAAAGCGAGCGCAGGCGGUCUUUUAAGUCUAAUGUGAAAGCCUUCGGCUCAACCGAAGAAGUGCAUUGGAAACUGGGAGACUUGAGUGCAGAAGAGGACAGUGGAACUCCAUGUGUAGCGGUGAAAUGCGUAGAUAUAUGGAAGAACACCAGUGGCGAAGGCGGCUGUCUGGUCUGCAACUGACGCUGAGGCUCGAAAGCAUGGGUAGCGAACAGGAUUAGAUACCCUGGUAGUCCAUGCCGUAAACGAUGAUUACUAAGUGUUGGAGGGUUUCCGCCCUUCAGUGCUGCAGCUAACGCAUUAAGUAAUCCGCCUGGGGAGUACGACCGCAAGGUUGAAACUCAAAAGAAUUGACGGGGGCCCGCACAAGCGGUGGAGCAUGUGGUUUAAUUCGAAGCUACGCGAAGAACCUUACCAGGUCUUGACAUCUUCUGACAGUCUAAGAGAUUAGAGGUUCCCUUCGGGGACAGAAUGACAGGUGGUGCAUGGUUGUCGUCAGCUCGUGUCGUGAGAUGUUGGGUUAAGUCCCGCAACGAGCGCAACCCUUAUUACUAGUUGCCAGCAUUAAGUUGGGCACUCUAGUGAGACUGCCGGUGACAAACCGGAGGAAGGUGGGGACGACGUCAAAUCAUCAUGCCCCUUAUGACCUGGGCUACACACGUGCUACAAUGGAUGGUACAACGAGUCGCGAGACCGCGAGGUUAAGCUAAUCUCUUAAAACCAUUCUCAGUUCGGACUGUAGGCUGCAACUCGCCUACACGAAGUCGGAAUCGCUAGUAAUCGCGGAUCAGCAUGCCGCGGUGAAUACGUUCCCGGGCCUUGUACACACCGCCCGUCACACCAUGAGAGUUUGUAACACCCAAAGCCGGUGGGGUAACCUUUUAGGAGCUAGCCGUCUAAAGU
This 1064-nucleotide ribosomal RNA is filed under the name Pediococcus pentosaceus. RNAcentral describes it as "bacterial SSU rRNA". It matches the Rfam family "Bacterial small subunit ribosomal RNA", at positions 407 to 1463 of the family's 1533-position model. Lineage: Bacteria; Bacillati; Bacillota; Bacilli; Lactobacillales; Lactobacillaceae. The record is from RNAcentral.